Non-coding RNA from Salvelinus fontinalis (brook trout), 74 nucleotides. NCBI's taxonomy places the organism in Eukaryota, Metazoa, Chordata, Actinopteri, Salmoniformes, Salmonidae. The record is from the annotation of a RefSeq genome assembly.
GGCUGGUUAGCUCAGUUGGUGAGAGCGUGAUGCUAACAACGCCAAGGUCGUGGGUCCGAUCCCCGUACUGGCCA